GAGUUUGAUCCUGGCUCAGGGAUGAACGCUAGCUACAGGCUUAACACAUGCAAGUCGAGGGGCAGCGGGAGAAAGCUUGCUUCUUUGCCGGCGACCGGCGCACGGGUGAGUAACGCGUAUCCAACCUGGCCCACAGUAGGGUAUAGCCCGGCGAAAAGUCGGAUUUAACGCCCUAUGUUCUUCAUGGAUGGCAUCUGAUAUGAAGCAAAGUUUCACGCUAUGGGAUGGGGAUGCGUCUGAUUAGGUAGUAGGCGGGGUAACGGCCCACCUAGCCGACGAUCAGUAGGGGUUCUGAGAGGAAGGUCCCCCACAUUGGUACUGAGACACGGACCAAACUCCUACGGGAGGCAGCAGUGAGGAAUAUUGGUCAAUGGGCGAGAGCCUGAACCAGCCAAGUAGCGUGCAGGACGACUGCCCUAUGGGUUGUAAACUGCUUUUAUAGGGGAAUAAAGUGCGGUACGCGUACCGUUUUGUAUGUACCCUAUGAAUAAGGACCGGCUAAUUCCGUGCC
RNAcentral lists this ribosomal RNA (511 nucleotides) under uncultured bacterium. RNAcentral describes it as "bacterial SSU rRNA". It matches the Rfam family "Bacterial small subunit ribosomal RNA", at positions 9 to 509 of the family's 1533-position model. The record is from RNAcentral.